This 496-nucleotide ribosomal RNA is filed under the name uncultured bacterium. RNAcentral describes it as "partial 16S ribosomal RNA". It matches the Rfam family "Bacterial small subunit ribosomal RNA", at positions 29 to 507 of the family's 1533-position model. The record is from RNAcentral.
AUGCACGCUGGCGGCGUGCCUAAUACAUUCCAGUCGAGCGAACAGACGAGGAGCUUGCUCCUCUGACGUUAGCGGCGGACGGGUGAGUAACACGUGGAUAACCUACCUAUAAGACUGGGAUAACUUCGGGAAACCGGAGCUAAUACCGGAUAAUAUAUUGAACCGCAUGGUUCAAUAGUGAAAGACGGUUUUGCUGUCACUUAUAGAUGGAUCCGCGCCGCAUUAGCUAGUUGGUAAGGUAACGGCUUACCAAGGCAACGAUGCGUAGCCGACCUGAGAGGGUGAUCGGCCACACUGGAACUGAGACACGGUCCAGACUCCUACGGGAGGCAGCAGUAGGGAAUCUUCCGCAAUGGGCGAAAGCCUGACGGAGCAACGCCGCGUGAGUGAUGAAGGUCUUCGGAUCGUAAAACUCUGUUAUUAGGGAAGAACAAAUGUGUAAGUAACUAUGCACGUCUUGACGGUACCUAAUCAGAAAGCCACGGCUAACUACGUG